This is a long non-coding RNA of Hypomesus transpacificus, 297 nucleotides long. RefSeq lists it as uncharacterized. Lineage: Eukaryota; Metazoa; Chordata; Actinopteri; Osmeriformes; Osmeridae. The record is from RefSeq and is a predicted model, not a curated record. The transcript is spliced from 3 exons.
CAAAACCCUGACUGUGCUUCCUGUCACCCUUUUAAAGCACAGUGCCUCGCCCACACUUAAGCUCCACCCAGUUGAGGAAGGUGCCGCUGAUGAGAACGAUGAUGAGAUGAAGGACAGUGUUAAGGCCCCAGCCGGCCUGCCCAACCUACUGAUGGCAGAAGAAGAGCUACGCCCAGUGUCUGCAGCCAGUUAUACCAGUGCUGUGGUCCAUGAAAGACUUGCUGAGCUGCUCAAGCUGUUCAAAGAAAGGACUGAACGGCAAAAGGACAGGCUUGUUGACCCGGAUGAGUCAGAUGA